RNAcentral lists this ribosomal RNA (633 nucleotides) under Flavobacteriia bacterium. RNAcentral's name for it is "bacterial SSU rRNA". It matches the Rfam family "Bacterial small subunit ribosomal RNA", at positions 382 to 1016 of the family's 1533-position model. Lineage: Bacteria; Pseudomonadati; Bacteroidota; Flavobacteriia. The record is from RNAcentral.
CCUGAUCCAGCCAUGCCGCGUGCAGGAUGACGGUCCUAUGGAUUGUAAACUGCUUUUGUACGAGAAGAAACACUCCUUCGUGAAGGAGCUUGACGGUAUCGUAAGAAUAAGGAUCGGCUAACUCCGUGCCAGCAGCCGCGGUAAUACGGAGGAUCCAAGCGUUAUCCGGAAUCAUUGGGUUUAAAGGGUCCGUAGGCGGUUUAGUAAGUCAGUGGUGAAAGCCCAUCGCUCAACGGUGGAACGGCCAUUGAUACUGCUAGACUUGAAUUACUAGGAAGUAACUAGAAUAUGUAGUGUAGCGGUGAAAUGCUUAGAGAUUACAUGGAAUACCAAUUGCGAAGGCAGGUUACUACUAGUGGAUUGACGCUGAUGGACGAAAGCGUGGGUAGCGAACAGGAUUAGAUACCCUGGUAGUCCACGCCGUAAACGAUGGAUACUAGCUGUUGGGAGCAAUCUCAGUGGCUAAGCGAAAGUGAUAAGUAUCCCACCUGGGGAGUACGGGCGCAAGCCUGAAACUCAAAGGAAUUGACGGGGGCCCGCACAAGCGGUGGAGCAUGUGGUUUAAUUCGAUGAUACGCGAGGAACCUUACCAAGGCUUAGAUGUAGAUUGACCGAUUUGGAAACAGAUCUUUC